Molecule: long non-coding RNA, 333 nt
Filed under: Vigna radiata
Lineage: Eukaryota; Viridiplantae; Streptophyta; Magnoliopsida; Fabales; Fabaceae
Description: long non-coding RNA (VRAD_LNC013751)
Source: RNAcentral
ACAAUUUAUUAUUUUCUUUGAUUAAGGAUGUUUUUCGUGGUAUAAAUUUUGUAAUUAUCUGUUCUUGUUUCCUUAAAUGUUCAAUCUGUAGUUGUUUUGUAAUGUGUUGUCGGUUUGGAUUUAGAUAUGAUUAUAUUUGUUGUGCUUUGGGGGGUUUAAGCAUGGAAAAAGUUCUUGUAUUUUGGGGGUUGAUAUUAGUCCGAAGGGUGUUACUUUAAGUUAAUUUAAUGGUCCUCAUUUCCAUUUGUAGGGUAGGGAUUGAGAUGUCUAAGGAAAGGUUUGAGGUAGUGGUCCACCAUGGUAGGACCUUGAUAAAAGAAGAGCACCUUAAAU